UGAACCUCAGAUCAGG
This 16-nucleotide ribosomal RNA is filed under the name Corynelia africana. Its description in RNAcentral is "partial 28S ribosomal RNA". Lineage: Eukaryota; Fungi; Ascomycota; Eurotiomycetes; Coryneliales; Coryneliaceae. The record is from RNAcentral.